RNAcentral lists this ribosomal RNA (401 nucleotides) under uncultured bacterium. Its description in RNAcentral is "bacterial SSU rRNA". It matches the Rfam family "Bacterial small subunit ribosomal RNA", at positions 975 to 1375 of the family's 1533-position model. The record is from RNAcentral.
CAGCCCUUGACAUGUCCGGGACCGGUCGCAGAGAUGUGACCCUCUCUUCGGAGUCCGGAACACAGGUGCUGCAUGGCUGUCGUCAGCUCGUGUCGUGAGAUGUUGGGUUAAGUCCCGCAACGAGCGCAACCCCCGUCCUUAGUUGCUACCAUUUAGUUGAGCACUCUAAGGAGACUGCCGGUGAUAAGCCGCGAGGAAGGUGGGGAUGACGUCAAGUCCUCAUGGCCCUUACGGGCUGGGCUACACACGUGCUACAAUGGCGGUGACAGUGGGAAGCUAAGAGGCAACUCUUCGCAAAUCUCAAAAAGCCGUCUCAGUUCGGAUUGGGCUCUGCAACUCGAGCCCAUGAAGUUGGAAUCGCUAGUAAUCGUGGAUCAGCAUGCCACGGUGAAUACGUUCCC